GUUGAUGAUGUGGAUUAAUUCGAUGCAACGUGAAAAACCUUACCUACCCUUGACAUGCCACUAACGAAGNCAGAGAUGCAUUAGGUGCUCGAAAGAGAAAGUGGACACAGGUGCUGCAUGGUUGUCGUCAGCUCGUGUCGUGAGAUGUUGGGUUAAGUCCCGCAACGAGCGCAACCCUUGUCUCUAGUUGCUACGAAAGGGCACUCUAGAGAGACUGCCGGUGACAAACCGGAGGAAGGUGGGGAUGACGUCAAGUCCUCAUGGCCCUUAUGGGUAGGGCUCCACACGUCAUACAAUGGUGCAUACAGAGGGUUGCCAAGCCGCGAGGUGGAGCUAAUCCCAGAAAAUGCAUCGUAGUCCGGAUCGUAGUCUGCAACUCGACUACGUGAAGCUGGAAUCGCUAGUAAUCGCGGAUCAGCAUGCCGCGGUGAAUACGUUCCCGGGUCUUGUA
Molecule: ribosomal RNA, 451 nt
Filed under: uncultured bacterium
Lineage: Bacteria
Description: bacterial SSU rRNA
Rfam family: Bacterial small subunit ribosomal RNA
Source: RNAcentral